This is a long non-coding RNA of Betta splendens (Siamese fighting fish), 1698 nucleotides long. The record is from Ensembl. NCBI's taxonomy places the organism in Eukaryota, Metazoa, Chordata, Actinopteri, Anabantiformes, Osphronemidae.
GACACGCUGUCUGUCUGCCUGUUGGUCUGUUUGUCUGCCUGCCUGUUUAUCUGCCUGCCUGCCUGUCUGUCUAUCUGUCUGCCUGUCUAUCUGUCAGUCAGUCAGUCUGUCUGUCUGUCUGUCUGUCUGCCUGCCUGUCAGUCAGUCAGUCAGUCAGUCAGUCUGUCUGUCUAUCUGCCUGCCUGCCUGUCUGUCAGUCAGUCAGUCUGUCUGUCUAUCUGCCUGCCUGUCUGUCAGUCAGUCAGUAAGUCAGUCUGUUUGUCUGCCUGCCUGCCUGUCUAUCUGUCUGUCUAUCUGCCUGUCUGUCUGCCUGUCUAUCUGUCAGUCAGUCAGUCAGUCUGUCUGUCUGCCUGCCUGCCUGCCUGUCAGUCAGUCAGUCAGUCAGUCAGUCUGUCUAUCUGCCUGCCUGCCUGCCUGCCUGCCUGCCUGUCAGUCAGUCAGUCAGUCUGUCUGUUUGUCUGCCUGCCUGCCUGUCUAUCUGCCUGCCUGCCUGCCUGCCUGCCUGUCUGUCUAUCUAUCUGUCUGCCUGCCUGUCUAUCUGUCUGCCUGUCUAUCUGUCUGCCUGCCUGUCUAUCUGUCUGCCUGUCUGCCUGCCUGCCUGUCUGUCUGUCAGCCCGUCCGUCCAUCCUGUGGGCGCUGAGCUGUCAUCUUUACACACCCACAGCCUCAGAGGCAGCAGGCCUGCCGCUCUCUGCUGCAGAGAAGGGGCUUCGUGACGUCAGUGGAGGCUGGAGCGGUUCCUGGGCUGGAGCGGAAAAAAAAAAUGGGGAGACGACUGCGAGGUGAGUGACCCACGCAUUUCGUUGUUGUUGCGCUAACGUUCGUGUCGCCGCGCGCGCCGUGGACGCGUUGAACGGUCGCUCCGUGGACGCCGCCGCUCGCGUGCGCCGAUUGUGCGCAGCGGGAGUGCGGGUCCAGCGAAGAGCCAGCGCUGCCGCGCGAGCGGGAGCGUUGCGGGCGCACGUCCGGUUCCUGGCACCGUCUCCUCCGACGGCGCGCGUUUGCGGCCGUCGGCGUCGGUGCGGCUUUGCCCCGGACCCCAGGCCUCGGAUCUGCGCCUUUAAGUCGCUUCGCCGCCGCUGCCGCUCGUCCACACCCACAUGAUCUGCACCUCGCGAUUGAUCCAUGUGCGGUGCAGAACCGAGCAUCAUUCGGGGUUUUUUUUCUGCAGGUUAUAAUCCACGCCGGUGUGGCCCGAGGUCUGCGGGCUACCUGCUAACGCUGCGUUCACGAGCACUGAAAUGCGCUGCAGCCUAUGAGAAGUUGCAUGUGCGCUAAUGUGGCGCACGCACAGCGGCCAGCGUCGCCGUGUCGCUGCGUAAACCCAGAUUUUGGUUCACAUUGUGUCACAAAGCCCGCGGAUGCGUCACCUUCCCGUGAAGUUCCGAGCCCAGUGUCUUCGUGCAGCGUGGUCCUCGUUGUUAAUGCGAGCAACCAUGAUUCACGUUCAGUGUCCGAGCAAAUCACCACAGUGUCAAAUUCAGGCUCAUGAUGAUAACGUUGCUCGGGGAUUCUUCAAACUGUGCCUCAGCUCCUGUGGCAGCUGCUGAAGUGACGGGCAGCCAGAGCUGCUCCUGUUCGGGGGAACUGUCACGUGACCGCGCUGCACGACGGAUGUGACUUGGAUUCAGUGUUUGAAAGAUCAGCUGGAACCAAAGUUGGGGGGAGGAGGAAAUAAACACAGGGCGAGAGCUGUCA